UACGGGGGGAGCAAGCGUUGUUCGGAAUUACUGGGCGUAAAGCGCACGUAGGCGGAUAUUUAAGUCAGGGGUGAAAUCCCAGAGCUCAACUCUGGAACUGCCUUUGAUACUGGGUAUCUUGAGUAUGGAAGAGGUGAGUGGAAUUCCGAGUGUAGAGGUGAAAUUCGUAGAUAUUCGGAGGAACACCAGUGGCGAAGGCGGCUCACUGGUCCAUUACUGACGCUGAGGUGCGAAAGCGUGGGGAGCAAACGGG
This 253-nucleotide ribosomal RNA is filed under the name uncultured bacterium. Its description in RNAcentral is "partial 16S ribosomal RNA". It matches the Rfam family "Bacterial small subunit ribosomal RNA", at positions 524 to 776 of the family's 1533-position model. The record is from RNAcentral.